RNAcentral lists this ribosomal RNA (208 nucleotides) under uncultured bacterium. RNAcentral describes it as "partial 16S ribosomal RNA". It matches the Rfam family "Bacterial small subunit ribosomal RNA", at positions 524 to 727 of the family's 1533-position model. The record is from RNAcentral.
UACGUAGGGUGCGAGCGUUGUCCGGAAUUAUUGGGCGUAAAGAGCUCGUAGGCGGUUUGUCGCGUCUGCCGUGAAAGUCCGGGGCUCAACUCCGGAUCUGCGGUGGGUACGGGCAGACUAGAGUGAUGGUAGGGGAGACUGGAAUUCCUGGAUGUAGCGGUGAAAUGCGUGAGAUAUGCGGAGGAACACCGAUGGCGAACGGCGAAUC